Molecule: non-coding RNA, 30 nt
Filed under: Rattus norvegicus (Norway rat)
Lineage: Eukaryota; Metazoa; Chordata; Mammalia; Rodentia; Muridae
Source: RNAcentral
CCCCAGAGGAUCUGUUAUCACCCAUGUGAC